This 779-nucleotide ribosomal RNA is filed under the name uncultured Neocallimastigales. RNAcentral's name for it is "partial large subunit ribosomal RNA". It matches the Rfam family "Eukaryotic large subunit ribosomal RNA", at positions 24 to 646 of the family's 3401-position model. Lineage: Eukaryota; Fungi; Neocallimastigomycota; Neocallimastigomycetes; Neocallimastigales. The record is from RNAcentral.
UAUCUCUGUAGAGUCUGCAUAUCAAUAAGCGGAGGAAAAGAAACUAACUAGGAUUCCCUCAGUAAUGGCGAGUGAAGCGGGAAGAGCUCAAAUUUGAAAUCUUCAAGGUUUUACCUUGACGAAUUGUAGUUUAAAGAAGUGUUUUCUGUUGAAAUUUUGGUAAAAGUUCUUUGGAAAAAGACAUCAAAGAGGGUGAGAAUCCCGUAUUUGACCAUUAUUUCCAGCUUUGUGAUACACUUUCAAAGAGUCGGAUUGUUUGGGAAUGCAGUCCAAAAUGGGUGGUAAAUUUCAUCUAAAGCUAAAUACUGGCGAGAGACCGAUAGCGAACAAGUACCGUGAGGGAAAGAUGAAAAGAACUUUGAAAAGAGAGUUAAACAGUACGUGAAAUUGUCAAAAGGGAAGCGUUUGACACCAGUGUUGUUUUCUCGAAAAUCAAUUAAAAAAGAUUGGAUUUUGUGUUGUAUUGACUUUAUCAGCUUUCUGCACUCUUUUCUUGUCUUUUUUAAUGCACUUUUCGUUUAACAAGUCAACAUCAAUUUCUUUUGUUGUAAAAGGGUCAUUGGAAGGUGGCUUUCUUUUCGGAUGAAAGUGUUUAUAGCCUUUGACUUCUGCAAUCGGAGAGAUUGAGGUCUGCAGCGUAGAUCCUUCGGGGUUAGAUACAGUUUGUGCUAAGCUAUAGCCUUUGUCAUAGACAACUUGUUGACUAUGAUCAGUCAUGUACUUACUCGCAGUAUAGCUAUUUUACCUACGCUUAGGAUGUUGAUGUGAUACUGCGAGCA